RNAcentral lists this ribosomal RNA (804 nucleotides) under uncultured bacterium. RNAcentral describes it as "bacterial SSU rRNA". It matches the Rfam family "Bacterial small subunit ribosomal RNA", at positions 1 to 811 of the family's 1533-position model. The record is from RNAcentral.
GAAUUCGCCCUUAGAGUUUGAUCCUGGCUCAGGAUGAACGCUGGCGGCGUGCCUAACACUUGCAAGUCGAACGGAGUUGAAAGGAGCUUGCUUUUUUCAACUCAGUGGCGGACGGGUGAGUAACGCGUGAGUAACCUGCCUUUCAGAGGGGGAUAACGUUCUGAAAAGAACGCUAAUACCGCAUAAGAUUGUAGCUUCGCAUGGAGCAGCAAUCAAAGGAGCAAUCCGCUGAAAGAUGGACUCGCGUCCGAUUAGAUAGUUGGCGGGGUAACGGCCCACCAAGUCGACGAUCGGUAGCCGGACUGAGAGGUUGAUCGGCCACAUUGGGACUGAGACACGGCCCAGACUCCUACGGGAGGCAGCAGUGAGGGAUAUUGGGCAAUGGGGGAAACCCUGACCCAGCAACGCCGCGUGAGGGAUGACGGUUUUCGGAUUGUAAACCUCUGUCCUCUGUGAAGAUAGUGACGGUAGCAGAGGAGGAAGCUCCGGCUAACUACGUGCCAGCAGCCGCGGUAAUACGUAGGGAGCAAGCGUUGUCCGGAUUUACUGGGUGUAAAGGGUGCGUAGGCGGAUUGGCAAGUCAGAAGUGAAAUCCAUGGGCUUAACCCAUGAACUGCUUUUGAAACUGUUAGUCUUGAGUGAAGUAGAGGUAGGCGGAAUUCCCGGUGUAGCGGUGAAAUGCGUAGAGAUCGGGAGGAACACCAGUGGCGAAGGCGGCCUACUGGGCUUUAACUGACGCUGAGGCACGAAAGUGUGGGUAGCAAACAGGAUUAGAUACCCUGGUAGUCCACACUGUAAACGAUG